GUAAGAAGGGGAGAGACUCUUUUGCAGGGUCUGCUAUGACAGGACAAGGGGAAAUGGUUUCAAACUGAAAGAGGGGAGAUUAAGGCAGGAUAUAAGACUAAAUAUAAGUUUUAUAGAAUAGCUAGAAGUUUGCUGUAGUAAGGACAGUGAAGCACUGAAACAGCUUGCCCAGAGAGGUGGUGGAUGCCCUGUUCCUGGAGACAUUCAAGGUUAGGCUGGACCAGGCCCUGAGCACCCUGAUAUAGUUGUAUAUGUCCCUCUUUAUUGCAGGGGAGUUGGACUAGCUGGCCUUUAAAGGUCCCAUCAAACUCUAAGGAUUCUAUGAUUCUAUGUGUUUUCUCAGAGCAGGCUGCUCCUGCAGAUGCAUUUGGAGAGCAGAAUAGGUUUCCAGCUAUAGAAUGCAAUCGGGAACAGUCAGCAAUAUGGCAGUUCUGAGCUUACAAAGUGCCUUACCAGCAAGGCUUUUCACUACUCUGAGCCACUCCAGCAGAAAAUAAGGUAGUUUUUCCACCUCAUCUGUGCUCUCCUCAUUUCCUUUGGGAAGUCAGGUUUCCAUAGGAAACCAUGCUGUUGGAAGCUGAUUCUUCCAGAGGUCUAACACUAGCCUCUGUAAGUCAGGAAGGCAGCUUAGCAGGCCCACUGGGAAGUAGCAGAUGGAUAGGAAAAUGACAUGCUUUCCAAAAGUAUUUAAAUAUCAACUCUCUUUUGUUACAGCUGUGUAAGAGCCAUAUAAAAUCAAGUAACAUGUAGGAGAGAAAAGGGGUCAUGAAGGAGGAGUUUGAGCAAAAAGUAAUGCUAAAAAAGAAAAAAAAAUCCAUUGCAAAUGGUAAUGUAAAUAAGGUAAAACUUGAAAACUAUGAAGCAAUACUGCAGAUAGUCAUGUCUGAAGGAAUACCUAGAGGGUUCUUUUUGGUGGUGAUCUUCACUCCUGGAUCUGAAUUUUUCUGGACUGUCUCCCUUACCACUUCUGCAGGACACAAUUGCAACAGAAUUUUCCUUGAAUCAACGGAGGACUAUUACUUGAUGAGAUCAUUGUUUUCAGAUUUCCCCAGGAAGGAAAUACUGUCAACACAGUCAGUGUCUGAGUUUAUCCUCUCAGUGGAAAAGGUGGGUGAAAAACACUUAUUACUUCCUAUGUGCAUAAUUUAAACCUGUGAAACAUACUGCAGAAAUGUAAGGAGCCAUGAAUUUAGACACCGUUUUCAGCUAAAAUAAAGGUUAAAGUUUGUCUGUAGUGUAAGCCUGAGGUUGCAAAUACCCUCAGAAAAUGUUGAGUUUUGUGUGCAAAAGAGUAUGGUAGUGCAAGUCAGGCUGAAGGAGACAAAGUACAAAUUCAGAUAUUUCUAUCAGUAUUUACCUAAAAAUUAAAAAAUGAAACAAUAUUUUCCAAAGUACAGGCACACAGGCAGCAGGCUUGAAAAUUGCAGCAAUUCUCGGUUCUUUGCUUGUUCCAUUAUAUUUAUCAUAUGCUUAGUGCUUUAUGGGACUGGCAGCACAAAAUUUCUGAUUAGAAGUUUGUUCACUGUAGUUCAUCACAAAGUGCCUGUGUUCUUUAUGCUUGGUUGAACCACAAAGAUUCUUGCAGCAACAUUGUGAACAACUGGAUCCCAUAAUAUUUCAUGCAACAAAACUAUUGAACAGAAGGCAUGAUUUAGGUGCUAAAGUAUUUUAUGGCACAUAUUCUUAUGUGAUAUGGCUUAGAUAAGUUCAGAACUCUAUUCAGAACAUCCAGUCUUAGAAUAAGGGUUGAUAAGUUAUUUUGACAAAAAUCUGUUUACCUUCCAAAAAUGCAUACAUGCAGGACAAUCAGUGCAAACAAUGGACAGAGAAGAUAGUGAGUAAGAGAUUAAUUCAGAGAUCCUCAGUCAAAGAAAUAGUUCCACAUACUUUUUUAUUUUGUUUUGAGGAUAGGUAUGAUCCUACAAAGAAAUUUGCCACAAUCUUUUGAUAUUUAUGCAAAGGAGAACAGUUGACAGUAGAUAACAAUUUGAAUGCAGGCCUAAAUCAGGGGACAAUAAAACAUCACAGUAUAAGGAAGGCAUAGGUAUGCCAGCGUUAGCAAUGUCUAAAACCUACUCCGAAUUUGUGGUCACAGCACAAGGGAUAAAAUAGCAAUGUAGAAUUAGUAUGAUUUAAGAAAAUCGUAUAUGUGUCUUGACCUGCAGCUGACACCAGUUUAAAUUAUGCUGAAGAAUCAACUCUGACUCCUCAAUGCUACCAAAAUACUUUCUCCUGCAAACAAUGGAAUUAUCUCCUCCCACACAUACCAAGAUUCACUGGAAGUUCAAUGUAACUCAGCACAUGAAAGUAUUUGGGCAACAUUCAUUUCAUAUUUGUAAGUUGAAGUAAUAACAAGGAAAGGAGCUCUCUUGGGGACGGAUACGAAAUGUUCUGUGCUACCAAGAAAUGGAAAGAGGAAACUUGUAGAUGAUAAAGAUAAAAGUGCAAGAUGUACUGAAUGUCCUAAAGGGAAAGUAUACCCUGCAAAGCCCUCUGCUCGGCCAAUGUCUGUUGUCUGUUCUUUCUCUGGAGCUUUACUCACUAGAGAGCAUUACUCACUUAUAAAGUGAUUUAAGUGCAGGCCUCUUUGUCUUGUGGGUUUAUACAUUGGCUUUAGUCCUGUGUGCUUCUUAAUUUAAAUGCUAACUGAGAUCACAAAUGUCAUUGGGAGGUUUGUUCCCAAACAACCCUCUUGCCACUCAAGCCGCUUUGUAGCCUGAACUUUCCAGACAGGAGGUGUCUCUGGCCUUAUGAACACAAGAAUGUAAACCUGGAGAGAAGCCCCUCCAAGGUAAGAUAGUGCUUGUAAUUGUUUUGCUCUUCUACUUUUCUUGUCAUCAAGGCAUCAUGUCUUUCUAAAACAUAUGCUACAACCACAGAGGAAACAUCAUCAUCUUAGUGAAACAUCUGUGGGAAAAAAGCUUACGUGAGAUGUUGUACAUAGGGAUAGACUAGAUCUUACCAUGUUUACUUUCUGACUUCAGAACAAGUGGACAUUCAACAAUGGUAAGAAGCCCAAAUUUAUAUUGUAUUUGAAUUUCAUAGAAUAUUCACAGAAGAUGUGUCUGUAUAAUUACUAAUAUUCUCCUAGUAACUGUAAUUUUAAUAAUAAUGCUUGUGAUCAUUGGAAAAAAAAAGGAAAAAGUAAAUGCUCAUCCAGAACAUUCUGUUAAGCAUGUGGAUGAGUCAUUGAAAGAAAAAAGAAAAAAAAAUUGAGCUUUUUAUUUUUUUUUUUAAUGAAUUACUCACUCAUGGAUCUAGACACAUCUAGCAGAUGUCAGAAUGUGUGAUGUUCGUGUCAUCACAAGUGGCAAGUUAAAGCACAAUAACAUUUUUUUUCUCUCCUCUGCAUUCUGUGACGGGAUACUUGCCAUUACUAAGAUGUAGGAACUGUCAGAUUACAUUUCUCCCAGUCUUCAGAGACACUGCCACAUCAUAUACUCGUUUGAAAUCAGCAAUGUUCAGUUCAUUCUCUAUCUCAUUUUCCACAGAACUUUACCCUUUUACAAAAUUACUAAUGUGCUGCUUCACACACUGGCGUUUUUGCGAAGCUUUGCACUGGAGGAGGCACUCAAAGCAAAAGUCCUAACUCUAAGAUACUAUUUAUCAGCCACUAUGUUUUUCUGCUAAAAACAAAAAAGACACCCAGUUUAGUCAUCCAUAAGUCAGCCUAGAAAUCAUGAAAACUUUUCUUUCUCUCUCACCCACAUUUGAUAAAUUUACAACUGACUUUUCUGUUGACAACAGGAGAGAAAGAGGGAAGAGCAUCCCUUCAACUGUUAGCUGUUUUGGUGCAGAGAAUUGUUUGAAUCCAACUGCUGCAGGCUGAGAGCAGUGAAGCAAUAAUACAGCAGGUUUAGCUCCCAACUGUCCCUAAUUUUUUCAUUAACAAUCUUCAUAGUUUGUCCUCUGUCUAGAGAAUUCCCUUCAUUAAGUAUGCAGAUUUGGAAAGAAUGAAAAAUGCUUGGUUUUAAAAGCAAUGGCUGGAUAUUUCAUCAUAUAUUCCAGCUCCUUCUCUCAUUUUCACUCGUAGCACCUUGCUUAUAUGUUCUCUUUUGUUUUUACCUAUAUUUCUGCUUUUUGCCACAGAUGUUUUGUUGGGUUAUUUUUCCUGUCACUUGCAUGUUGUUUUAUUUCAAAUCCCAAUUUUCUGUUGUGAAAGGUUUGUAGAUGAAAAAAAAAGGAGAGACUAAGUUGCAGAGUGUAUUGACUUCUCUAGAUUUACAUUUCCAUCAACAUUCAUAGUAGUCUAAUUAAUUUGUGGACCUUGCAAGCUUUCUCCUUCCCAAAAAAAAAAAAAAAAAAAAAAAAAGUGUAUGUAGGCCAACUUAGGGUAGUUAAGAAUCACAAUUCAAGUUAGAAAUAAUAACAAUUCAAGAAAGAAAACAAUCACCAUUUUUGGUCUCUUUCUUUUCUGUAAGAGGUCAGAGCCAACACUUCCACUGAGUUCAAGAGGGAGACUUCUCUGCCUUUAUGGUCAAGUAAACACAGUUAAAAUACAUAAGCCAGACAUAUACAGACAAAAUACAUGGUCUGUUUCUAAGGCCAAAUUUGGUAACCAAUCACAAUGAAUUCACUGUUUCUAAAUGAGGGCAGAAGUUGUCCCUACAAGACAUUUUCUUUAUUUAUGAUUUUAGUAAGCUUUGUUGAGUUUAUCAAGGCCUUCCUUUUUUUUAGUUGGUUGGGUUUUUUUUUUGUUUGUUUCGUUUUUUGUUUUGUGCGCACAGACUAUCUCAUACGGUGGAUUAUUAUUCCUUGUCUCCGAGUAUAUGACAGUUUUGUAGCACACAAGAAAAAACAAUGUUAUGAAUACUUAUGUGCGGUAUCUUUCUUCAAGAUGAUGCUACUGUCUAUGCAAAGAUUGCAAUUUUGAGAUGAAAGAAAGGACACAUUCGUAAAUGGUAGCACAGUCCUGAAAUUUAUACUAUGGAUUUCAGCUUUUCAGUUUAGUUAGAAAAAUCUUCAGGCUUUCAAGGCAUCCUCUGCAGUGAUCCAGAGAUAAGCUAAACCUGAACAUUUUUUCAUGAAAAAUGAAAGAACACGUUGUUGCUAAUACACUAUUAGCUGAAGUUUUCCAAGGGAUAGGAUUGAAGCUCUGCUCCUUUCAAGAGACAGUCUGACAGCAGCCACACUAGAGCCAACUGUACAGUCACUCUCCAGUGCAGCCAACAAACAAGCUGAGGGAAGACAGCUAAGGGAUCAGACCCAGGUCUCGCCAUAGACGUAGCUGUUGGAAACAUUAUAUUCUGAAACAAAACUGAAAUAAAUUAUCAGCAGAAGUGUGGGACUGACUACACCCGGAAUGACUAAUAUUUUAAUGUUGAAGGAAAUUUCCCAGACUGCACUUUUAGAGACCACUGCUUAUGACUGAUAAUAUCAAGGACAGAAAGUGCAGGAAAGUAGUCAAGGAAUUGCUCACAGGAGGCUAAAUCUGAACACCUUCUUCCUCCUUGUUUUUGUGAUACUUGCUGAGAAGAUGCUGAUGUUUUCAAGGUCAAAGUUCUCCAAAGAAGGUUAUUCCAUUCUCUUGGUGAAUUCUCCAUGACCACAGACUCUCCACUCUGUGUAGGGGACAUUUUUUGAGGUACAGAGGAGAGUUAGAUGCCCAAUUCCCAUUAUUUCUCAAGGCAAUUACAUGCUUAACUGCCCUCUGUGCCUUUUAUAACCUUCCUUUUAGGAGUCAGAUGUCCAUGAUUACAUAGAUUAUCUACAAGUUUCACAACAGCAGUACUUUGAGGUACUUUAAAAUGCUAUUGGAAGGUUUGACAACAUACAUAAAAUGUAGAGUAAUGAUCAUAGAGUCUAUGGAUUGUUUGUUUUAAGAAGCUGAGAUUUUAAUGCAAAAAUAGGAUACAUUUUUAAGGAAACAUACCCUCAGCCUAAAAUACAUAUAAUUAUGGUUUAUUCUGUUGCUCCAGUGGAUUAAAACAUUCAUUAUACGAGCCACAGAUAAGAUAUAAUCUGGGAGGCUGAUGACUUUUGCAACAUCACAGAAGAUUAAAGGGGAGAUUUUGUUGUAAACUAGUUGAGUUUGUAGAAAAAAACUAUGUCUACUAUGUGGUAAAAUGAUUGCUGUCACUUUCAGCUCUGGCUUUUCUAUUCCAUUUUUCAUAGUCUAGCUGGCUGUAAAUCUUCAAAAUUGCAUAAUGCCAAUUAAGAAAAUAAAGAGCAAAUUGAGAUACCAGUACUCAUAGAGGAAUGUUGCUGGCUGAGGCCCCAGAUAUUUUUUGUGUCUCCAGUGAUUUGCCUGUAACUGUUCCAGGAAGUUUGGGAAAAGCUUUGCAUUGACAUCAUGCUAUAAAUGCUGGAAAAAGCUUUAUCCUGGGAAAAAUUUGAGUCCCAGUUCAGUGUCCUGGGUAACCUAUCCUACGACUUCUAUGGAUAUUCUCAAGGUUAAUGAAUUCAGCAGAAAUCUAACCCAUCUCUUUCUAUGCUUUCAAAGCUGUUUUAUGGAAGAAAAAGUUAACAAAUUUUUUAUAUCUGCAUUAUUUUCUCCUGAUUUUACUUUUCCCAAAAUCUUUUGUUUUUUGUCUUUUCAAGUGCAGCUGCUCCUAUGAACCACAUAAUAGGAAAGUAUGUUAUACUAUUAUACUUCAUUUAAAAAAAAUACUUUAACAGUAAUUUAUUCUCACUAACAAAAGAAACAGAUGAAGGAUGGCUCGCCUUUUCUUAAAACAUGGUCUUCAGGAUUGUUUGCUUCUUUUUAUAAAUUAAAAGCAGUAGACAUAAUGACAGUAGGCAUAGAUCAAACUAAUUCCUGGAAAAAAAUAAAACAUCAGAAGGGCCAUUUAGAUUCAGUUCAUAAAGAUAGCCACUGUGGAAAGUUAAAUCACUGACAAGUGAGCUUCUGAGGAGGAGGGAAAGCAUCCAGUGACUGUUAGGAUCAGUACUUAAUCUCUUAGUUGAAAAUUCAAUAGAGUUACUAUUUAGAGGGGUUUUAGUUUUCCAGGAAUUAUUGUUACUUCCACCACUUGUCAGUGAAUGGUUGGGUUUUCUGAACCAAACUGUGUGACUCAGAAUACUUGUGAUUACAUCUCUGUGGAAGUAUCAAGGACCAAGAAGAUGUGCUGUUCUUGCGGCGUCUGUCUCUCACACUGAUUGAGAGAAAAGCCAGUUGACUAGUUUGAUCUAGAAGCCCUAUUUUUAGAUGAACUGAUUUAGGCAAGAAAAACCUAACUAAAUAAAUUCCAAUUACUGUAUUGCUGUUCAUUUUCAAGUUAAAUCUUUUAGUAUGAAAGAUCUGCAAAAUAAUUUUGUGAGAAGUAACAAUCCUUUUCUUGUAAUAGUGGUUGGGAAAAAAAACAGGAAAUAGAACAACCUUGCAAGUUCAUAAGAAAUGAAUUUCUUUUGCAGUUAUUGCUAAAUGUGCCAUUUUUUUCUGACUUUUUAUUCUUUGUGUACAUUUUUUCAUAAAUAUGUUGUACGGGAAAAAAUUGUUUUAAUAACCUCUCACAUUUGGCAAACUGAAACCCCGAUGUCUCAUUUCACUUUUCUGAUAUUUCACAGCCAAGGAUUAGCAACAUUUUAGAAACAAUGCUAAGACUGUGUGUACUUGUUGUUUUUAAUAAAACUGUCAAGUGCUAAACCCUGUGAGUGCAUAGGUAUAUUUAUAGAUUAUUUCUCUCCAAAUGAAUACGAAGAAUUAUUUUUAAAACCACAUUCCCAAAUGUAAAGCUAGCAAAACAAAGCAAUAUUUCACUAUAAAAAAAUAUGCAAAAACUAAUACAUGUUUUGGACAGACAGAGAAAGACAUGUUUCAGUAUUCUGAAAAUAAUCUGAUUCUAAAUAAGACACACAAUAAAAAAAGAACUGUUAGAAACUAAUUUCUUUCCUUUUGCCUUCAGUGUUUUUUUUACUUUAUUCAAUACAGAUUAGUCAAUUAUAAUCUAGUACUACCAUUUCAGAGUAUAACAGCUAUUAUUGGACUUCAAAAAUAAAGGUAAAUGUUAUUUAUCUGCUUAUGAUACAGGUAAUGAAUCUCAAGUAUAGGCAGAUUACACCCAAGUUCAAAUACUUACAUUUAGUCACAUUUUUAGUUUUUAGUCACUUAUUGGAUUCAGAAACCCAAGUCAACUAAACUGUCUGUCUUCACAUAAUCAUUACCUUCCACAUUUACUAAAUCUGAAAGAUCUAUCUGUACCACUAUCCUUUGUAGACAGUGAACAAACCCAUCUAUUUUAUUCAUAACCUUCAGUAUCUGUAGUCACAUUUUCCUACCUGAUAUCAGCUCCAGAAAUGUUAGGAAUGGUGCCUAAAUGUUAUGUUUCACUGUGAUUCUUCUGAAAAGCAUCAAUACAUCGAGACAGUGUUCAUUUUGACGUUGGUGGCAAUGAGAACCAGAACUGCUCAACUCAAGGCUAGAGAUUCUCCUAGACUUUAAGAAUAGUUCAGCUUUAAGAGUAGAAAUAAUCUGAUUUGAUGUAGAUGUCAACACUGGGUUCUCUUGACAGACAGUGGAAAUCUACUCAGUAGUUCAGAUUGUGAUUCAUAUCAUUCUAAAGUAAACACUUAAAAUAGGCCAGAGAAACCAUACCCUAAUCAAGUCUGCAGAGACUUCAGAUGGAGCCUAAGAUGAUGAACUCAACUGAAGAAAGCUGAUGUUACAAGGAAUCCAUGCAUGUACUAUACAAUACAACAUUUAUACAACAUUUAUUGACUGUUGUAGUCCAUUGUAUCUAGUGUCCUAUAUUCCAAAGAAGAAAAAAAAAACACAAAAAAACCUGCAAGGAUAAAGAUUUUUAAGUCUUCUGCAAUCUUACCUGUAAAAUACAUCCCCAAACCUUAAUAAACCUUUUUUAGAGUUACAACAAAAAUAGUGUAAAGAGACUCUGAAGAAUUAAGACCUUUAAAAAAAAAUAAUAAUUAAAAAAAGUUGAAAUUAGACAUGGGAUUUCAAAAGCAAGGAGAUUUGAAUGUCUAGUGUAAACUGAGCAACCAUAUCCCUUGGGCUUCUUUGAAAGCCUAAAUAUUAGUAAAAGGAAAAUUAAAUCAGGAAAACAUUGGCACUUCUUACCAUUUUGUUACUGGAAAGGGACUGCAGCAAAAAUAGCUAGUUCUCUUAGAGCAAAUGUGUUAAUGUAAAGACACUGUUUCCUUCAUUCUACAAUAUCUUAUUUUUGGAGAAAAACAAGCAUUCCAGUUGCCACGUUUUAUUCAGUUCUGUUUUUUUCAGUUCAGGUGAAUCUAUAUUGAUGGAACCUCUGUCGGCUAAUUUUGUAAAAUACAACUCACAAUAAUCUUGUGAGCGCAGCUCUUUUUCUAAAGCACCAUUUAAAGCAUUUUAAAAGUUUGCCCAUGUUCCACUCCAACUACACAGCAUUAAGCUCUGUCCAUAAAGGAUUUUCUGAAGAGAUUUUGAUAGGAAGACUUGCAAUGAAUACCUUGACUAAUAAAAAUUUAAAAAUACACACUGUAUGUAUUUAUAUUAGUCUGUCUCUUUCAACAGGAAGUGUUAUAGAAAUGCGAUUACCAGACACUGAGGUUUUUUAACGUAUAAAAUAGGAAAGAGAGAGGACAAGCUGUGGUGAAGAAAAUGCAAGCAUUGUACAACUCAACAGACCUCCUGUCCCAGAGAGAUUUAUUUACUGGAAAUUACGGUGAGAGGAAAGAGACUAAAUAACUUUAAGUCCCAAGUUAUUAUGUCAUAUGUAGCCCCAUAGCACAAUAUAACUACAAUCUGCAGCUUUGUAAACUGAGCUGUCAAAUACUUGUUAUUUUAAAGCUGCAGCUUUUCAGGGUCCUCUGACAGCCAGUGGUCCCAGCUCUCAGCCUGAUUCAUUGCUGGCUCUGAGACAGAGGAAGUUCGCGUCUGCUGUAAUCUAAACACUUUGCAAAUGGAGCACUGGAACAGUGGUGAAAGGAGAAAACAGCCUAAACCCUAUAAACCAGACAAGAAUCCUACAAAGCUUCUGGGGAGAAAAGAAAUAAGUACAACAGUACAGAUUGCAAGAUCAGCAAAAGUAUUCAUGCAAUUUUAUUUUGAACAAAAACAUUGAUUUUAAGCCACUUGGAUGAAAAGCAGUGAAAAUUAUUCUCUGUCAAAAAUAUGGAAACAAUGUCCCAGAUGUGUACUUCUGCAACAUCUGUAUUUUCCAUUUCAAGCAUAAAUAUUAAAAGGUGGGUUGUAGGAGGGUAUCUCCUUUUCCUCCGUUCUCUCCUAUCCCUGAGAGUUGUUUGCUUAGUCCUUAAACUGAGAUCAGUGGUUGAUUAUAAAACAUAAAACAAUGCAGAUAAUUUCCAUUACUUUUUCAGAAGCAUCAUGCAAAUGUUAAAGGGAUGAUGUAUUCCUGGGCUGUAGUACCGUGUCCCUGUACUGCUGAGACAAUGAAAUCAGACGUGUCUAUAGUUUACUCUUUCUUAAAGGAAACAAAUGCCCAAAUUCACUGAGAAAUCUUUUUAAAAAUAAUAAUAAUCUUUUCUGAUUUUAGCCUUAUUACAGUACUCACACAAUAGUAGUCUUCCUGAUCUCCAGUACACAUCUGCUGUUCUUACCUUUGCUGUUGAACCAACUUGCACAGAGCAAUGCUCAUCUGCCAUUCAUCCCUCUCUUUAUAUCGUGGUCUAACUGAGUAUAGAAAAUGUUUAUCUUAAGUACUUAUAUGAACCUCAACUUAGACUUACAUGUAGCCUUAGGAUAGCAUUCUAGCUUCAAUUUUCUCUAAACUGUCUGGAAAAUAUAUGUUUCUGUAUAAAAGAAAACUUGGUAAUUCUAUUCUACCAGACCUCAUGGCAAUAAAAAACAAAUGUAUUUUUGUAGUUUGUGUUUGGUGAGUUACAGCUCAAUUCUUUAGCAUUCGUUACAUUGACAAUAAUGCAUUACAGAAGGAAUUGUUGCAAAAGAGAAGGAUUUUUGAGAAGACAUAGUAGUAUAAUUUGUACAAAUUCUGUUCAGAAAGACACAAUGCUGAAAGUUUUGGAACUUACUUGAAAUGCUUAUAGCAGCCAUAACAUUUGCCUUUCAGACAAUGAUUUAUGGGCAGCUGGAAUUUGCAUGCAUUGCUCCGAAUCUGUGGAAGAAUCUAUGUGGUUGUUCAUGGCCUUCAGAAACAUGGAUGCUGCAAAGCAGAGCUAUGGAGAAUAUGGAAAGCAGGCUCAAAAAGCAUCUGCAAAUCUGUGCCAAUAUUAUUGCCUCUGUCAUCAAGCAAUGGAAAGGUUUUUCUAGUUAAAUUCAAGUAAUUAAAUCUCCCUGCUCUCAUUAAAAAAAAUACAACUGUCUGCUGCUGGUCUGAAGAAUUGCACAGAGUGAACGUAAAUUUUAAUUUCAUGGUGCAAGUGUUAAAUUAUUGCCAUCUAAGCUGUCUGCCAGUGUUACAUGAAAUCCCACCACAUUUUAAUAAUUCUCCCUUUGUUUUGGAUGGAAAUACCACGUGUUGUGAUUUGGAAGUUUUUAUGUGCAAUUAGAGCCCUGAGAACUACAACAUAAUCACAUUCAAUUCACCUAAUUGGACAGCGAGGAAACUGUCAUUUCUGAAAUGGUUUGUGUCUUUUGGAAUGUCUGUGUGUAUACACAUGCGUAUAAAAUGAAACAUUUUCUCACCCAUCCUGUGUUAAAAUGUAAUAGAAACUCCUGCUAACUGAAGUUGAAGAUAUAGCUGGGUGUUCUUUAGUAACCUCAAAACAUAUACGUGUGCGUGUAAAUAAAAAACUGUCCUUCUAAACACAAGGAUCCUUCCCUCCUACUUACUUUGCAACAUCUUAGUAAGGAUUUGCCAUCAAUUCCCUCUCUUUACAGUGCAUUUGAUGACAUUUUACAGAUCAUCAUACUAAAUAAGUAAGAACCAUCCUCUGAUUUAGAAGAAAAACCUUUAUUUAUUUCAAUUUAUUUUGGGAGUUCAGAAGUAAUGACAAACUUGACAAUCUUCAUGACAAACAUGACAAUCUUCACAUCACUUUAAGCUGUGUGACCAAAAAGCCAUUAGCUUCACAGAAACAGACAAUACAUUUCAUCCUGAAACAACACUUAUGAUCAACAUUUAUGCAAUCUAUAGGUACUUCCUAUAUUUGUAUCAAUGCAAGUAAGAAGACAUGGAGUAUCAAACCAGCAAGGGCUUAGAAAUAUCAAGCCCAAGAGUUUACCCAUUUACUUCAGUGGAAAAUAGUGCUAGUAAAUAUCAAUACAUAUUUUAAUCUUUUAUUUCAGUAAUUUCCAUGUAAAAGCAAACAUAUUCUGCCAACUUUAUUCAUUGUCUUUGAUCUUUUUUUGAAGCAUAUUAUGAUAGAUUUCUGAAUCUUUUAAUUCAAUGUUGAAGUAGAUAUUAAGUAUAUCACAACACCAAUCCACACUAAAUAGAACUUUUGUUUUUUGUUCUUUUGCUGAAAUGUCUGACAGUAUUUCAAGAAUAAUUUAAUUAUGAACUUUAUAUUAACAAAAGACAAGUGAUUUUUUAUUCCAUUCAGUGUGGAAUAAGAUACUACCUAUAUUUGUUAAGCCCUGUGUAUCAACCAGAAUUUGCAAAGGGAAGUUAUCAACUUCAGAUACUCAUUCUCCAUUUCCCAUAAAUAUGUUAAAAAUACAAAGUCAGCUCCUAAGUUUUUCAUCAAAUAAACUAGCUUAUUAAGAUUAAGUGGCCUGAAACCACCAUCUGUGAGUUCACAUUUAUAUCUAGAAAACCUGUAUAAUCAUGUGUAUUGAGAGUAAGGCUUAGUGUUGGAAGGCCCAACCUUGUAAACAAGCUUUGUUUACACAAGAAGACAAUAGGACUCUUCUUUUGUUUCAGAGUUUACAUGUUCAGAGGCUGAGAUCACUAUUUUUGAAAUGUGAUGAUGGGAAUACAAAGUAAUUACCUUUAUGAAGGUUUUACAAAGAAUCCUGUAAGUAAAGCCCAUGACAGAAAUAUAUAGUGUCUCCAAAGAAACAAUUAUGAUGUAUUGUGUUUGAAUAAUAACUCAGAAUGUUUUAUCAUCAUCUGUUUACAUAAUAAGUCAUAAUAACUUUUCAAAAUAUGGUGCUUGCAUUUUUAUUAUUGUUUUAAGUGUACAUAGGGGAAUUACUACAGCCUAGAAUCAUAAACUUUGUAAAACUUUGUUGAAGACUGCAUUUUUAUUCCCAUCCUCUUCUGCUCAAACAAAAAUGUAAAGGAAACAACACACAAAUAAAAGUACGCUAAAAUAAUCCCAUGUGUCUGGCUAAAAGAAAAGACAGGAAAUUCUUAAAAGUGUGGUUAUAAACUGAAAAAUGCCUUUAAACAUGGCUUCCUACUGUCUCACAUUUAUAUAUUCAUAAUUAUUUCACUAUCAAUAUUUUCUUUGCUUAUAUGUACACAAAUUACAUUAUUCAACAUGCCAAGACCACAUUCUCAGUCUGAUAUCUGGAAUACAAAGCCCUGUUGUCACUGGCUUCUACUACAGUGUUAAAGAUGGAACUGAGAGAAAUUCCUAGAUUCCCUCUCCUGGAAACUUUAUGAUUUAAGCCUACUUCUGACCUUUAGCAAUAUUUCCUUGGGGAGACUGAGGUCCAAAUUAAACUUUCAGGAAUUACAAGAGAAAUUUCAAUGAACUCUAGAGAUGCCAGAAAGACAAAUGACAAAAGUAGUUAAAGCAAAAGUGCUGAGCACGUCUUAAGUGCUUCAAUUAGAACUCUUGUUCCCCACAGGAUGUUCCAGAAAGGUGUAGAGGUGCUCACAGACCCUCACAAUGGUUUCAGACAUCUAGCCCACAAAGUAGAAUCCAAAGCCAAGAUUAGAGAGCUGUUACCUACAGAGAACAGAUGAUGUUAUGUGAGAGGACUAACAAAGUAGAAACAUUAUGGAGUUAUCUAGAAUCUAACUCAUAAUUUUGAAAGUCAGAUAAUGCCAACCUAUGUAGUUGAGGCACUCUGUCACAGUGGAAGACUGUGGUUAUUUCCAUCCACUCAGUGUCCACAGACCAUCAAGGUAAUUCAAUUUUUGUUUCAAAGGCUCCGUUUUUUUAAAAAAACAUAACCACUGUUGAAGAUGAGAUGUUAAUAAUGGAACAUAGGAUUAUUCUUAGUUCUACUAUUUACUGAAAAAUAGACAUACAAACUGUGUGGGGCAAAGACAAAGGCCAGAAUCCUGCUUGCUCCAUAAAAAUUGUUUCCUUCCUCAUUUAUCUCCUUGAAUCUUAAUGAGUUUUGCAGUUGUAGUGCACAUCUGUACAGCUAUGUAGACUAGCCUGGGACCCAGUGGGUAAGGUGUGCCUCCUCAGAAAUUAGAGUUUAAAAUACCUGAGGUCAAAGCAGAUGUAAAAAGUUGUCUCCUUCUGAAAGGUUUCCAGUUUUAUUGGCAUAUACUACGUUUGUCUGAGUGCACUUUCCAGGUCUGUGCUAUAAGCUAACACUACCAUUUAUCUUCUGGAUUCCCAGACUGUUUAAGUCAGACAGAGGUACAUGCCCGCUUCACCCUGAGCCCUUCUGCGAAUGGUCAGAAACAGAAUACUGUGUGAUCUCAAAAAGAUUCAGAGCAAACAUGGAAGACAGUUAUGUUUAAAUGACACUCUGGUUGGGCAGGCACUGAACGCAGUAACAGUUUCAACAUAGACACCUUAAACCUUCCAGUAUUCUAUUUUAGGUUUGUUCUUCAUUCUUGCAUCACAGCAGGAGUUGUACCCUUUAUCAGUGUUGAUGUCUUCUUAAAAGAGGGUCUGUGACCGCAUUUGAAGUAUCUCUACUACCAGUUGUGGUGAUUUCACCCUGAUGUGCAGCUAAACUACUACAUCAUUCUCCUGUUACUCCUACUCAAAGGAAGAGGGGGAGAAAAUGAAAUGAAAAAAGGCUCAGGGUUUGAGAUUACCGUCACUGAUCAGUGAUUAUGAGAAUAAAUAAACAUAGUGUGGAAAAAUCUUUGUAUAGUCAUUAAAAUACCCAAGUGUGGCAUUCUAGUAGAGAUUUAAUAAGGAGAAGAAACUGACCCUCAGACUUAGGAAUUCAUUUUCUUUACUUUUCUACAAGGACAGACAUACAUCUCUCUAUCUAAUUUAUAUAUACAUACGUAUAUAUAAAGCAAAGCUUUUAAAGAAUUUUUAUUUAUCAUUGUAAAAUCUCUACUUAGAAUUGGAAAGAGAUAGAAAAAAAAAAAGUAGACUUUGAUUAUCACCUUGAUACAUCUAAGUGUUUACAGUGGGAGCUAAGCUGUAGCAUAGCAAUGUAAUAAAAAUAGAAAGUAAAGUGACGUAAAAAGUGCACUGAGGACUACCUUAUAACUAAUUCCAAACGUUCAAGAAUAGUAAAUGGUUAACAGUGAUGCAAAAGGAAAUUACAGAAAAAACAAUCAAAAAGGACUCCUAAACAAUGAAAGGAAACAAAAAAUUAAUAAAGCAGAAGACUGAAAAACAGAUAAGGAGAGCAAAACGGUGAAAGAUUUCACAGAAGAUUAUGAAAUUAGCACAAAAAAUUUUUAAACAAUCCUAAGAAUAAACUGUCAUUGAAGAACAGAAUAGGGAUUGUGGAGGAUCAUUUUUUAAGGGAUGAGGUAAAAAAAGAUGGAAAAUUUAAACAAAUUCUUCGCAUAGCUGUUCAGAAAGAAAUGUCAGCUCGCAGAGCUGUAGAAAUAUAGGUACAUAUUUUCUGGAGCAAAAGGAAGGAUAAAACACCUAAGUAAACACACACUGUAUGUGACAUAGUACAGAUGACAAUCUUAGCAUGUAUCACAUAAAAUAAUUUCUCAGUGCUAAAGCAUAUGCACUUCAGAAUUCACAGAAAGGGACAAAAAACAGCAUCACUCUUCACAAGACUAAUUUACAUCACUUCACCAUUCAGAUAACUUUUCCUUUUCAAAAUGUUGCUUUGAAGUCACAUGGGCUACUUACAUGACUGACAACUCUAGGACUGCAGUGAAAAAGAAGUUUCAGUGGAAUUAAAGAAAAAGUAACGGGAAGUGUGCAGGAGGUAUCUGUGCAAAGAAGGGCCCCAUGCAACUCCUCUCACAGCUUGCCUCUAAAAACUCAAGAACUGGGUUUAAAUGAGAGAAACACCUUGUCUUUCUGGCAAGUUUUAGCAAUGCCUUCUAUGCAGGAAAGCAAUUUGCUUCAAGACCAAACAGAAAUGCACACUGGUUAAGAGUGAUAUAUUACAAAAACAACAGAGUAUAGCUAAAUUCAGCAAAUUAUGAAGCAAUGGCUAUUUCAGUGAGAGUCAGAGAUUCGUCUAAUGAGAUCCAGGAGUUUCAGCUCUGAACAAAAAGUGAUGAAUUCAAGCUUAAAUUCCUACAAGUAACCCCUAUUCUACAUUAAAGGUAACCAUCCAUCACAUUUUUAACUACAUCUACAAGGGAGUUCAGUAACUUCAGUCUAAAAAAUUCAAAACACAGACAUAUUUUCAGCCAAAACAAAGCCAGAGCCAGCAGUAAUUUUAAUUCUUUUCACUAAGUAUUGUUCUGGCCAUAAGACUAUGUGUAAAAUGGAUGUGGUUGAAGCCACAAUGGACUGUAAGGUUUAUAGGAUGAACAAGUUGCUAAGGAAGAGCUUGCAUGCCUAAAAACUUACAUUAUUCCAGCUGGAGUGCAUCCUGUAACAACAGUACUUCUUUAUUCUUCCAUAUCUUCCCUAAAAAGCUGAGCGCUCUGGCUGAAGACAGGCCAGGAGAGGCGCAUGGAUGUUUGCCUUCUUCAUGUUGCCUGAAAACCUAGUCCUUGUCUCAUCUGGGAACAGGACAGUCAUGCCAAGUGGAUGCAUCUCCCUGCAUCUGUGGAGAGACAGCAAAUGUGCUGUCUGGAAAGUAUCUGUGUUCUAGGAGGUGAGAAACUGGCUUGGGCUGUUUGAUUUCACUUCUACUCAGAGAAAUGGGGCAAUGAACUUUCUAAUAAACAGGUUUGGUUCACAGAGGGAUGACUCCACCAUCGAUCAUUCCACCAGAGGAAUAACUCAAGAUUCGAAAAUUUUAACCAGAUAAUUUUAUCAAAAGAAUAAUAAAAAAAAAAAAAAAAAAAAAAAAAAAAAAAGGACCAAGUAAUGACUUAAAACAAUUGCUGUGAUAUUACAUCUACAUAGGAUCUACUGGCCUAUAUGUCAGUUUUAAUCUGCCACUGGUUAAAUCCUACAUACUGAGCAAAAUAACUUACCAACACAAUACAUGCAAAGUAAAUAAAUACUCAAGCAACACUCUAUGUCCCACAUCCACUCAGAUACCAGAAGUGUGUAUUUCCAGUCUGUGAAAUACAAUGAUAAGUAAAAACAGUGAUUCUCCAUGAGUGCAUUACUCAGAAGAAGCAAUGUUAAGGCAGUCAGUGUGAUCUUUAAAAAUCACUCCCAGUAAAUAAAUAAAUAAGCACCUCUACCUGCACAGCUAUCUGAAGACAAGUUAACAAAUUCUGUUUUCCACUUAUUAGCAAAUCAGUUGUUCUGUAAAGAAUACAUGAUCAAAACCUACAGCAACAGCUGGCACAUGUAUAAAGCGGGGCAAAAAAAUUAAGAUGAAGUAUUUCUGACAAAAAAAUAUAUGAAACAAAACAAAGUUGAAAACUGAAGCAGAUAUCAGAUAACCAUUUUGUCAUUUAUAAAAUACUUUUUCAGGACAAAAGGGGUUGCCAUACCUUUUCACUCAGCAUAUCCUCAGAGUCACAUAUUAAGCUGAUCAAAUCCGAGGGUACUGCAGUAAGCUGAAGCUUGAAGCUGCCUCCACUUCCUUCAUUUCGUUUACAGUUUUGUUUGGGGGUUGUUCUUUUUUUUCUUUUUAGCUUGCAGAAACCUGAGGGAAAAAAUAUUUUGGGGGUUACUAUCGAAAUAGUUUAUUCAGUAGUCAAUUAACUGAAAAAAACAAAUAGUUCUAAACUGAUCUCUUAUAUACCAUGCCCCUUUUUAUAUCAUAGUUAUUGGUUCCAUUCUGUUGUUAUAUUUUACUGAAAACAUUAUGAAUAUAAAUGAGAAUAGUGCACAAAGAGCAGAGGUGAAGAUAUGUCCCAUUAGAAAUCUGCUUUUUUACUUACAUUUACUGAGGUUAUCAAGUACCUCUUUAUGAACUCUUCAUCCCUUUCUAAAAGGUAAAGUUGAAAUUGGGAAAUAUAUUGCAUCAGUUAUUGGGCAUUCUGGGGUUUUCCAUUAUUUUAAAAACCUCCUAUGUGCCUAAUUAUAGCUAAUAAGUACUGUUUAGAAACAUAGCAGAGAACUCAUGAUUUCCUUCUUCACCCAAUGCCCAGAAAAUCCAUGUCCGAGAACAAAAUCUUGAAGGUAUUUGUGAUCAUGACCCAUUCUCAUUAUCUGUAUCCAUUCUAAGAUUUUUAUAUUAUAUGAAUGAAUAUUUUAAAGUGAAAUUAUAGUAUUCAAUGGCAAAUUACAACUACAUGUGACCAAGAGAGGAUUAAACCCAUCAUUUUGCUUAAGAGCUCUGAUGGCUGGAGUAAUUGGAUGAUAGCUGUAGGGCAUCUUUUUGGUCUGUAAUUAGGUCAUUUCUUUCUCAUCCCUUCACUGUGUGUAUAAUUACGAAUUAAUUUGAAAUCCCACUGUGAGUAAAGAAAGUCAGUUUAAUAUAACGGAAGUGCAAAAGCCACAAUAUAUUACUUUUUAAAAACUGCUUAUUUCAAAAUACUCAGUCUGGCCAAAAGUUAUAUCCCUAUGUACUGCAAGGCUUAUAUUUGGUUUCUUUGCUAACUUUGUACAAGUGCUGCUCUGAAAGUAAUGCCUCCUGUUUUAUUAUGUUGGUGUGCAAUGUCAGAGGUGGAUUUUGGUGGUACAUCAGGAGAGGUUGAACCUUCACACCAGUAUUCCACUACAUUUUGUUGCUGUGUGACAGAUGGCAGCAGAGGGUCAGUCUGACAAAAUGGCUUCUGACACGGAAGCAUCUGAGAAGAAAAGAUGUGGAACUGAAUUCCUCCAUGUGGUAAAAAAAUUGCAUCCAUUGACUUUCACUGAUGCUUGCUGAACAUUUAUGGAGAUCAAACAGUGGAUGUGAGCUCAGUGAGGUUGUGGGUAAUGUGUUUCAACAGCAGUGAUAGUGGCAGUGGUUCACCUCCACCGGUGCAAAUUUUUACAAGAACAGCAAGCAGGUUCUCGUUCAUCGUUGGCAAAAAUGCAUAGCUAAUGACAGUGAAUAUGCAGCAAAAUAAAGUUUGUAUUUGAGAAUUUUCUCUAUGAAAUAGUGUUAUUGUGCUCUUUGUAUUUGUUGCAGUUUCUAUGGAAAUAAACAGCAAGUAUUACUUUUGAAUCAAUCUACGUUCCUGGAUGUAUUUUCUCUCUUAAAAUAAAUGAAUUUUCAAAGCACCACACUUUGCUCCAGUAUCUGUCAGUAGGUGUCAACAGCACAAAAAGGUAGUGGAAAGAAAUAAAAAGUAACCAUGAGAGUCUUGACAGACAGUAUUAGCAUCAGAGAACUUAGAGGCCACUCUCAACACAGUCAACCAUUUUAUCCUUUAGUCCUGCCAUUAUUUCCUUCCACUGAAACUACCUUUCUGCUUUUACCCUGAAAGUGUUAAACACUGCACAACCCUAACUAGCAUACCUGCUACUAUGUGCAUCAGGAGCUCACCAUUUCAUCAUCUGGCUGAGAUAUGCUGCUGGCAAGUUCUGCUUCCCUUCCUUUAUCACAACAUUGUGGUCGGAUGCAUCAGACCUCCCUCCCGCCUUAGCAAUGAUACAGGUAAAAACAUGCAUUUCUGACAAAUGGAUAACCCCAAGCAGAUCUGUGGAGACAAUGUUUUGACUUGCUGAACUUCCUGUUUCAUUCUGUUUUCAUCUGUCCCCAGAAACCUUGAAAGGGGUCGGUGAGAGGGUCCCAGGUGUGAUCUGAGCACCAGUGAUGUCAACAGCGAGCCAGGGGCUGUGCAGGGUGUGAAGUUAAAGGGAAGAGCAGAGAAAAGACUGUUGGUGCAGAGAACAAGGGUACUGAGAUUUGACUGUAUUUGUAGCUGUGCUGUAAAAAACUGUAAAACAUCCCAUGCCGUUAGCAUAAGAUUAGAUUUCUGCCAGGAAAAAAAAAAAAAAAAAGAGAGAGAGAGAGAGAACAAAAAGAAAUGGAACUGCUUAGAUAUAAGUUCCAAAGUUCAUUAAGAGGGUUCUUUUCUGCAUAGCUCCAAAGCUAAGAUGUGCUAAGGCAUGUAGAAAAAUAAGGAGGUGUUAAAAACCUACCCAACUUCUUAGCUUUCAAAAAAAGUUCAAAGUCCUAGUCAUCGAUUAUUUACAUGGUGACCUCCAGGCCUAUUUGUGAUGCCAAAAAAAUUGUACUCAGGAAGGAAGGAAGACAUUAUCAAAAAGGAAAGAAUUUCUGUUUAAUCUAAUAAUGCCUUUAUAAAAAUAACCAUUUUCUUUUACAUAUAAUAAAAAAUUCAUUAGAAAAUCUCAACAUAUUUUUAUAUAAAAAUAAUAACUGGCAACAUAGCUAGAAAUAAGAAGCAGAGAAAGAAACUUGGAUGCAUUUCUUGCUUGCAAGAGCAUGAUGAGGAAAUAAGGUAAUCUAGUCUUCCCAUUCUGAACAAAAUAGACAUGAUAACAGAAUAUAUAAAUCAAGACAUUUUUGGAGAAAUAAUGUCACUCCAUAAUUUUUGAAAGUAGAAAUAAUUUAAAAUUCAUGCAUGAAACUAAAUAGGUAAAAUAUGUCAUUUUGAAAUAACAUAACAGUAAAAAUAAUUUGUAAAACUUUUUUUGUUUUUUAACUGAGUCUCAUUUUAUACUUGGAAAAUUUUCUUUAGAAAAUUUUCAACCUCUUCUAUGUAGCUCCUGGGUAAAUAUGGAGGUUUUAUGGAAACCAAACAAAUGAAUUAAAUGACUACAAGAAUUAUUGGCUCUAAAUAUAUACAUUUUCUUCUGAUGCUACUAGAAUGUUACUAGUAUAUACUGUAUGAAUUAUAAAAAAUGUUAUGACAGAUAUGGAAGUAAUAUACUUCGGUGAUAAAUCUUCAAUAGAAAGAAUUUAUUAGAGUCAUAUAGAUCUACU
Molecule: long non-coding RNA, 20815 nt
Filed under: Gallus gallus (chicken)
Lineage: Eukaryota; Metazoa; Chordata; Aves; Galliformes; Phasianidae
Source: RNAcentral